AGAAAUAAAAAUUCAAAAUCAAGGUAAGAUAACCUCAAAAUGAUAGCUUUCUCCGAUUACAUUAGCAGUGCCAGAAUAGGAAUCGAGACCCGAGUUAGACCGGAAACCCUCGUCGGCAACCUUGAGCACAGAGCUUCACGGGAUUAUUGGAGGAUUUUGGAUCUGUUUUCUCGGGAAAAAAUGGAAACGACUUGAGCUUAAAUUAUUUAACUCUCAUGAGUUUUCUCUGGAUGAAGAAAAUCAAUAGCAGUUGCUACCUUCUUUUCCCAAGCAACUGUGUUUUUCCUUUUGUAAUAACGCUACUGCACAACUUUUCUUCCUUCGGCUAUAGGGUUCUCUUCGUUUGUGAGCGUGUAUCUGUGUGCGUAUGUGUUCCGGCAAGUGGGUGGUGAAUGGGUCAAGAAAAAGAUGAAGCCAGAGAGGUCGUUUAAAAGAAACGACGGUCCCAUUUUUGGGGGGUUUUUUGCGGCUGAAGACGAUGAAGCAGCAACAGUUGCUGCUGGUGAUCGACGUUAAGGGUCGAAGGUUGUUUGGUCGUGCUGGACGACGGGAAGGAGAUCUAGGCAGCAGCUGGGGGCUGUUUGGGUCGCGGGUGUAUUUUCGGCGACUGGUGGCUUGCUAGGGUGGUCGUUUCGGACCUGUUGCUGGAGGCGGCGGCUAGGCGGCGGAACUGGAGUGAGCAGCGGCGUUUUGGUUGUGGAGAGGAGGGUGGCAGCCGGUUUUAGGUGCUGAAGGGUCUCUUCAGGCGCUAGGUUUUCGCUAGUAUUUCUUCAAAAAGAAGAAGAUAGGGCCGCCUCGAAGGCCGGUUUUAGGUGCUGAAGGGUUCUCUUCGGCGGCUAGGUUUUAGCUAGUCUUUGUUCAAGAAUAAGAAGAUAGGACCCUCCAUGGUUGUUCUUGUCUUAAGGUUAAAGGUCUCAGGAAUCAUCAGGAAGAAGAAGAAGAGACUAGUAGGGUUUUUAAGUUUU
This 965-nucleotide long non-coding RNA is filed under the name Nicotiana benthamiana. Its description in RNAcentral is "long non-coding RNA (NBEN_LNC012928)". The record is from RNAcentral. Lineage: Eukaryota; Viridiplantae; Streptophyta; Magnoliopsida; Solanales; Solanaceae.